UACGAGGGGGGCGAGCGUUGUUCGGAAUUAUUGGGCGUAAAGAGCUCGUAGGCGGUCUGUCGCGUCUGCUGUGAAAUCCCGGGGCUCAACCCCGGGCUUGCAGUGGAUACGGGCAGACUAGAGUUCGGUAGGGGAGACUGGAAUUCCUGGUGUAGCGGUGAAAUGCGCAGAUAUCAGGAGGAACACCGGUGGCGAAGGCGGGUCUCUGGGCCGAUACUGACGCUGAGGAGCGAAAGCGUGGGGAGCGAACAGG
Molecule: ribosomal RNA, 253 nt
Filed under: uncultured bacterium
Lineage: Bacteria
Description: partial 16S ribosomal RNA
Rfam family: Bacterial small subunit ribosomal RNA
Source: RNAcentral